Molecule: ribosomal RNA, 141 nt
Filed under: uncultured bacterium
Lineage: Bacteria
Description: partial 16S rRNA
Rfam family: Bacterial small subunit ribosomal RNA
Source: RNAcentral
UGGGGAAUUUUCCGCAAUGGGCGAAAGCCUGACGGAGCAAUGCCGCGUGGAGGUGGAAGGCCUACGGGUUGUCAACUUCUUUUCUCAGAGAAGAAACAAUGACAGUAUCUGAGGAAUAAGCAUCGUCUAACUCUGUGCCAG